RNAcentral lists this ribosomal RNA (254 nucleotides) under uncultured bacterium. RNAcentral's name for it is "partial 16S ribosomal RNA". It matches the Rfam family "Bacterial small subunit ribosomal RNA", at positions 524 to 776 of the family's 1533-position model. The record is from RNAcentral.
UACGGGGGGAGCAAGCGUUGUUCGGAUUUACUGGGCGUAAAGGGCGCGUAGGCGGCCACCGCAAGUCAGUCGUGAAAUCUCCGGGCUUAACUCGGAAAGGUCGACUGAUACUGCGGGGCUAGAGUGCGGAAGGGGCAACUGGAAUUCUCGGUGUAGCGGUGAAAUGCGUAGAUAUCGAGAGGAACACCUGCGGCGAAGGCGGGUUGCUGGGCCGACACUGACGCUGAUGCGCGAAAGCCAGGGGAGCGAACGGG